CCAAUAGCGUAUAUUAAAGUUGUUGCAGUUAAAAAGCUCGUAGUUGAAUUUCGAGACCGGUUUAUUGGUCGUGCUUUUGUACGUACUGGUAUUAUUGGUUUCUCCUUUCUGACGAAUCUUAAUGCCAUUAAUUUGGUGUUUUGGGGAAUCAGGACUGUUACUUUGAAAAAAUUAGAGUGUUUAAAGCAGGCUCACGCUUGAAUACAUUAGCAUGGAAUAACGGAAUAGGACGUUUGAUUCUAUUUUGUUGGUUUCUAGGAUCGACGUAAUGAUUAAUAGGGAUAGUUGGGGGCAUUAGUAUUCAAUUGUAAGAGGUGAAAUUCUUGGAUUUAUUGAAGACUAACUACUGCGAAAGCAUUUGCCAAGGAUGUUUUCAUUAAUCAAGAACGAAAGUUAGGGGAUCGAAGACGAUCAGAUACCGUCGUAGUCUUAACCAUAAACUAUGCCGACUAGGGAUCGGAUGAUGUUAAUUUUUUAAUGACUCAUUCGGCGCCUUACG
This 499-nucleotide ribosomal RNA is filed under the name uncultured Glomeromycotina. RNAcentral describes it as "partial small subunit ribosomal RNA". It matches the Rfam family "Eukaryotic small subunit ribosomal RNA", at positions 591 to 1092 of the family's 1831-position model. The record is from RNAcentral. Lineage: Eukaryota; Fungi; Glomeromycota.